Molecule: ribosomal RNA, 274 nt
Filed under: uncultured bacterium
Lineage: Bacteria
Description: partial 16S ribosomal RNA
Rfam family: Bacterial small subunit ribosomal RNA
Source: RNAcentral
CUACGGAGGGUGCAAGCGUUACUCGGAAUCACUGGGCGUAAAGCGCGCGCAGGCGGCUAUUUAAGUUGGAUGUGAAAGCCUAUGGCUCAACCAUAGAACUGCAUCCAAAACUAUUUAGCUAGAGUGUGGGAGAGGAAGAUGGAAUUAGUUGUGUAGGGGUAAAAUCCGUAGAGAUAACUAGGAAUACCAAAAGCGAAGGCAAUCUUCUGGAACACUCCUGACGCUGAGGCGCGAAAGCGUGGGGAGCAAACAGGAUUAGAAACCCUAGUAGUCC